ACGGGGCGCAGCAGGCGUGAAACCUUUACAAUGCGGGCAACCGUGGUAAGGGAACCUCGAGUGCCUGUAAACGCAGGCUGUUCAGGUGUUUAAAACGCACCUGGAGAAAGGGCCGGGCAAGACCGGUGCCAGCCGCCGCGGUAAUACCGGCGGCUCGAGUGGUGGCCGCUUUUAUUGGGCUUAAAGCGUUCGUAGCUGGGUUGUUAAGUCUCUUGGGAAAUCUGGCGGCUUAACUGUCAGGCGUCUAAGGGAUACUGGCAAUCUUGGAACCGGGAGAGGUGAGGGGUACUUCGGGGGUAGGGGUGAAAUCCUGUAAUCCUCGAGGGACCACCUGUGGCGAAGGCGCCUCACCAGAACGGCUUCGACAGUGAGGGACGAAAGCUGGGGGAGCAAACCGGAUUAGAUACCCGGGUAGUCCCAGCCGUAAACGAUGCGCGUUAGGUGUAUCGGUGACCACGAGUUACCGAGGUGCCGAAGGGAAACCGUGAAACGUGCCGCCUGGGAAGUACGGUCGCAAGGCUGAAACUUAAAGGAAUUGGCGGGGGAGCACA
This 551-nucleotide ribosomal RNA is filed under the name uncultured archaeon. Its description in RNAcentral is "bacterial SSU rRNA". It matches the Rfam family "Archaeal small subunit ribosomal RNA", at positions 325 to 880 of the family's 1478-position model. The record is from RNAcentral.